Molecule: transfer RNA, 75 nt
Filed under: Acidobacteriota bacterium
Lineage: Bacteria; Pseudomonadati; Acidobacteriota
Also listed under: 3 other names
Description: tRNA-His
Rfam family: tRNA
About the family: Transfer RNA (tRNA) molecules are approximately 80 nucleotides in length. Their secondary structure includes four short double-helical elements and three loops (D, anti-codon, and T loops). Further hydrogen bonds mediate the characteristic L-shaped molecular structure. tRNAs have two regions of fundamental functional importance: the anti-codon, which is responsible for specific mRNA codon recognition, and the 3' end, to which the tRNAs corresponding amino acid is attached (by aminoacyl-tRNA synthetases). tRNAs cope with the degeneracy of the genetic code in two manners: having more than one tRNA (with a specific anti-codon) for a particular amino acid; and 'wobble' base-pairing, i.e. permitting non-standard base-pairing at the 3rd anti-codon position.
Source: RNAcentral
GUGAGUGUAGCUCAGUGGUAGAGCUCCGGAUUGUGGAUCCGGCUGUCGCGGGUUCGAUCCCCGUCACUCACCCCA